This is a non-coding RNA of Podarcis lilfordi (Lilford's wall lizard), 72 nucleotides long. The record is from the annotation of a GenBank genome assembly. NCBI's taxonomy places the organism in Eukaryota, Metazoa, Chordata, Lepidosauria, Squamata, Lacertidae.
GUUGGUGGCACAAUGGGUGAAUGCCUUUGGUUCUUAACCAGAAGGUUGAUGGUUCAAGCCCACCCAGGGAUG